This 447-nucleotide ribosomal RNA is filed under the name uncultured bacterium. Its description in RNAcentral is "bacterial SSU rRNA". It matches the Rfam family "Bacterial small subunit ribosomal RNA", at positions 355 to 825 of the family's 1533-position model. The record is from RNAcentral.
UCGGGAAUUUUGGGCAAUGGGCGAAAGCCUGACCCAGCAACGCCGCGUGAAGGAUGAAGUAUUUCGGUAUGUAAACUUCGAAAGAAUAGGAAGAAUAAAUGACGGUACUAUUUAUAAGGUCCGGCUAACUACGUGCCAGCAGCCGCGGUAAUACGAAGGGGGCUAGCGUUGUUCGGAUUUACUGGGCGUAAAGCGCGUGUAGGCGGACUUGUAAGUUGGGGGUGAAAUCCCGAGGCUCAACCUCGGAACUGCCUCCAAAACUACAAAUCUGGACCUAAGUAGAGGCAAGUGGAAUUGCGAGUGUAGAGGUGAAAUUCGUAGAUAUUCGCAGGAACACCAGUGGCGAAGGCGACUUGCUGGACUUAUGGUGACGCUGAGACGCGAAAGCGUGGGGAGCAAACAGGAUUAGAUACCCGGGUAGUCCCUGAGCGGGCUGGCAAGGCGCAU